RNAcentral lists this ribosomal RNA (465 nucleotides) under uncultured bacterium. RNAcentral's name for it is "partial 16S ribosomal RNA". It matches the Rfam family "Bacterial small subunit ribosomal RNA", at positions 338 to 795 of the family's 1533-position model. The record is from RNAcentral.
CCUACGGGAGGCAGCAGUGGGGAAUAUUGCGCACUGGGCGAAAGCCUGACGCAGCGACGCCGCGUGAGGGAUGAAGGUCUUCGGAUCGUAAACCUCUGUCAGCAGGGAAGAACGGUCACUGUGCUAAUCAGCAGUGAAUUGACGGUACCUGCAAAGGAAGCAGCGGCUAACUCCGUGCUAGCAGCCGCGGUAAUACGGAGGGUGCGAGCGUUAAACGGAAUUACUGGGCGUAAAGCGCUCGUAGGCGGUAUGUCAAGUCAAGAGGGAAAUCCCCGCGCUCAACGUGGGGACUGCCUUUGAAACUGGCAAACUGGAGUGUGUGAGAGGAUAGUGGAAUUCCAGGUGUAGGAGUGAAAUCCGUAGAUAUCUGGAGGAACAUCAGUGUCGAAGGCGACUAUCUGGCACAUAACUGACGCUGAGGAGCGAAAGCGUGGGUAGCAAACAGGAUUAGAUACCCCAGUAGUC